GAAUAUUUUCUGAUUUUGGCUCUCCUUGAAAAUAAGGAAAUUGUGAUCUAAUUGACUCCUUAAUUUAUUCUAUUUCCCUUAUUAUGCUCCCCUCUUCUACUAUAUAAACUAGACCCCCUCCUCACAUUCACUUACUCAUUCACUCACAUUGACUCUCUAACAAGCUUUUCUCACUACUCUCACAUCUUGAGAAGAGCUCACAUUUUUCCAACUCACACUAAACUCAUUCAUUCUCUCUCUCAACACAAGAACUAGA
This 256-nucleotide unclassified non-coding RNA is filed under the name Hevea brasiliensis (rubber tree). Lineage: Eukaryota; Viridiplantae; Streptophyta; Magnoliopsida; Malpighiales; Euphorbiaceae. The record is from RNAcentral.